GGAUGUCCCUGGCGCUGUUUUACCGCAACUUCAACCAGAAAGAUGCAAAGUUACAGAGUUGCGAAUAUGGUUGAAAUGCCGGGGACAAGCUGUGAAAUCGAAUGAGACAAAAGCCGAACUUUGCUUGAGGGUAAAGAAAUUCAGUGACAACCAGGAUAACAUCCUAAUUGUGGAUCCUUAUCCAGACCAGCCAUUUGCAGCUAAGCAGAAGUCGUCCUGUAUGAACUGUCAAGGACAAUCAACAGUGUCAACAGCGGAAGAACAUCUUAAUUUGGAAGAAUGCACAUGGACCCAAAGCACCAGACCGAUCUUCAAAGACUUUUCGUACAUGAACAUUCUGGAAUGGACCAAAAGUUCUGGUAAAGGUUCAAAACUGGGUGUUGAAAAGCCUAUUCAACGAGGCUAUGUGUUUUUUCAUGACGGUUAUGUAUUCGACACAUGGACAUCUAAACGUAACAGUUCAACAAUUGUUAGAUGCAAGUGUUUCCGCUCCAUGAAAAACCGGUAAUCAGAAAUAAAGAGUAUUGAAAUAAUCUAAAUUAUAUUUGAAAGUAUUCAAUUUUGUGUUAUUUUAGUGUCAGUAUUUGUGAGAUUCACCUCAAAUCACAUUUAUUCAUUCAAUAUAAUCAUAGGAUCUCAGCUCAUUUUGGUGCAAUACCUGUAUCUGAAUGUUUGUAAUUUUCAGAUUGUGUUUCCUUAAAUUAGUUUAUGAUUUCUAGCUUUCACAUGUUGUCUUUCAUCAUUAAUCUUACAAUUAAUGAUACUUCAUACUGUUUUGUGAUGAACUAUGCUACUCAAAUGUGCUUAUCUUGCAUUAUUUCUGUUGUAAUAAAGCUUAUAUCAUUGA
Long non-coding RNA from Dreissena polymorpha, 847 nucleotides. RefSeq lists it as uncharacterized. The record is from RefSeq and is a predicted model, not a curated record. Lineage: Eukaryota; Metazoa; Mollusca; Bivalvia; Myida; Dreissenidae. The transcript is spliced from 2 exons.